ACUGCAAACCGGGUUAUCGCUUCCUGGAAAACAGGAAGAGGAAAGUCCGGACAGCAAAGAGCAACACACCGGUUAAUUGCCGGUCCCGGUACUUAUACUUCGGCAAGCUCAGUACAAGUAUCGGGAAGAAAGUGCCACAGAAAAUAACCGCCCUGGUAAUUUUAAUUGCCAGGGUAAGGGUGAAAAAGUGAGGUAAGAGCUCACGCCCCGAGGUGGUAACAAAUCGGGAGGGUAAACCUUGUGUGCUGCAAUGCCACGUAUAUCAACGCUUCGGUUCAAAACCGGAAAAGAGCGGCUCGUUCAAAGUUGAAGGGUAGGCAGCAAGAUUGUUGCAGUAAUGUAACAGCAAGAUAAAUGAUAGCCACCUCUCCUAAGCUUGUCGAAGGAGGGGGACAGAAUCCGGCUUACAGGUUUGCAGUAAAU
This 423-nucleotide RNase P RNA is filed under the name Bacteroidota bacterium. Its description in RNAcentral is "RNase P RNA component class A". It matches the Rfam family "Bacterial RNase P class A". From Rfam's summary of the family: Ribonuclease P (RNase P) is a ubiquitous endoribonuclease, found in archaea, bacteria and eukarya as well as chloroplasts and mitochondria. Its best characterised activity is the generation of mature 5'-ends of tRNAs by cleaving the 5'-leader elements of precursor-tRNAs. Lineage: Bacteria; Pseudomonadati; Bacteroidota. The record is from RNAcentral.